CAGUCGCCGCGGUAAUACAGAGGGUGCGAGCGUUAAUCGGAUUUACUGGGCGUAAAGCGUGCGUAGGCGGCUUUUUAAGUCGGAUGUGAAAUCCCUGAGCUUAACUUAGGAAUUGCAUUCGAUACUGGGAAGCUAGAGUAUGGGAGAGGAUGGUAGAAUUCCAGGUGUAGCGGUGAAAUGCGUAGAGAUCUGGAGGAAUACCGAUGGCGAAGGCAGCCAUCUGGCCUAAUACUUACGCUGAGGUACGAAAGCAUGGGGAGCAAACAGGAUUAGAUACCCCAGUAGUCCCUGUCUCUUAUAC
RNAcentral lists this ribosomal RNA (301 nucleotides) under uncultured bacterium. RNAcentral describes it as "partial 16S ribosomal RNA". It matches the Rfam family "Bacterial small subunit ribosomal RNA", at positions 509 to 807 of the family's 1533-position model. The record is from RNAcentral.